UCCCAUGCAGCUCAGUUGGUAAAGCAUCUGCCUACAAUGCAGUAGACCUGGGUUCAAUUCCUAGGUUGGGAA
RNAcentral lists this transfer RNA (72 nucleotides) under Bos taurus (domestic cattle). It matches the Rfam family "tRNA". From Rfam's summary of the family: Transfer RNA (tRNA) molecules are approximately 80 nucleotides in length. Their secondary structure includes four short double-helical elements and three loops (D, anti-codon, and T loops). The record is from Rfam by way of RNAcentral. RNAcentral also lists the same sequence under 3 other names. Lineage: Eukaryota; Metazoa; Chordata; Mammalia; Artiodactyla; Bovidae.